Molecule: ribosomal RNA, 251 nt
Filed under: uncultured bacterium
Lineage: Bacteria
Description: partial 16S ribosomal RNA
Rfam family: Bacterial small subunit ribosomal RNA
Source: RNAcentral
GCAAGUCGAACGGUAACGCGAUGAGCUUGCUCCUUGGCGACGAGUGGCGGACGGGUGAGUAAUACUUAGGAAUCUGCCCAUGUAGUGGGGGACAACUCGGGGAAACUCGAGCUAAUACCGCAUACGCCCUAAGGGGGAAAGCGGGGGCUUUUAGGACCUCGCGCUAUUGGAUGAGCAUAAGUCGGAUUAGCUUGUUGGUGAGGUAAAGGCUCACCAAGGCAGCGAUCCGUAGCUGGUCUGAGAGGACGAUC